ACGGCACUCACUCUAGUCUGGGCAACAAAGUGAGACUCUGUCUCUAAAAAAAUUUUUUAAAAAAUCCUUCUGAGCAGGUCAAAGAGAAAGGCUAAGUGUGGUGCUAGGUUACCUUCAACACCUCUCCAUCUCCUGCUCAUUUCCCCUCUUAACCAAAAGAGAGUAGGCCUCAUGCUGAUAACAGGCAAUGGUGCUGGCUGGAAUUUAAUAACUGGGUUUAUUUAUGGUUACCUUCCAUUUACCUAGUGACACUGCUUUUCCAUUAUGAUAGUGACACAAAAUCUCCUUUUCAAAUACAUUUGUUUUAAAAGUGAGGCAGCUGCAGGGGAAAAUAAUAUUAAGUGAAAAAUGAAAUAGACUUCUCAGUCAACGCUGCCGGUCGCACCACCCGCCCAGUGCCCGCUGCCGCCAUAGAAGUGCAGGUGGAGACCAUCUCCCCCAGGGACGGGCGCACCUUCCCAAAGCACGGCCAGACCUGCGUGGUGCACUACACCAGGAUGCUUGAAGAUGGAAAGAAAUUUGAUUCCUCCCGAGACAGAAACAAGCCCUUUAAGUUUAUGCUAGGCAAGCAGGAGGUGAUCCGAGCCUGGGAAGAAGGGGUUGCCCAGAUGAGUGUGGGUCAGAGAGCCAAACUGACUAUAUCUCCAGACUAUGCGUAUGGCACUACUGGGCACCCAGGCAUCAUCCCACCACACGCUACUCUCAUCUUUGACAUGGAGCUUAUGAAACUUGAAUGACAAGAAUGGCCUCCUCCCUUAGCUCCCUGUUUUUGGAUUGGCCAUGGAGGGAUCUCGUGCCUCCAGACGUGUGCACACGAAUCCAUAUGGAGCUUUUCCUGAUGUUCCACUAUACUCUGUAUAAACAUCUACCCCGACUGAAUGUGUUCUGUCACUCAGCUUCGCUUCCGACACCUCCAUUUCCCCCUCCCCUUCCUCCUUGUAUGUGUGUUUACCUAAACUAUAUGCCAUAAACCUCAAAAAAAAAAAAUGAAAUAGAGACAGUCAUGGGAUACAGUAAAAUAGUAAAAGUGGUUCUUUUACAAAUGACUGAAGUUUAGGAAACACAGACCUCGUCCCAUUCUCCCAUUUUAUAGAUGGGGAGAAAGGUUCAGGGAGAGGCCCAGCGAUGGCAGAAGUAGGCCCAGGAAUGAGAGUCAGUUUCUGAGUCCUGCCAUCUGCCUGGGACCUGCAAUCUUGCCAAAUCCAGCAUGCCUGAACCUUUCCCAAAACCAGAAACUGGUCCCUGGAAGGAGAGUGGACUAACACCUGCUGAUCGUUCUGAUAACAGCUAACCUAUGCUCAGCUUUAAUAGCUGGAGAAACAGAAGCCAUUCUGCAAGUGUUUUAAAUUUUUGUCAUGUGGAAAAAGUACCCAGGCUGACUAAUACCUUCCCAUUAUUAAAACAUAAAGAAAGAUCCGCAUUAGUCACUACUCAAGUAAACUCACACAAGUUCUACCUUUAGGAAAGGUUUGGGCGUUCCCUAGCCCCACGAGAGAGGGCCUAAAAAUGAUCCUCAGUAACCCUGAAGUAUUGGAAGUCUGACCCAACCGUGGAAAUAACAGGCAGCUUGUGUCCGAGGGGCAACGGGGAAGCAGGUGGUACAUGCAAGACACAGGCCCCUCUGCCUGGCAGGGCACAGACUCCUGAAGAGGACUGAGAGAGCCGCCCUCAACCUCCCACACCCACCCACACCCACUCUGGUCUCAGGACCCACAGAACUCACUGUCAACAGCCUUGUCUGGCCACCUAGCCCUGAAACCUAGGUGCUGUCUGUGCAGGCUACAAUCCAGAAGUCCAGUUUCCAAGCACUAACAACUGUAAAAACAUUGUCACCAGCUCCAAGGCAUGAGGUUGGACAGUGCUGGAGUUUAAGGCUACACCCAGGGAAGCAAAAAUCUUGGCAGGUGGCACAGGCAGCCCCACCAUGAUCCCAGAUGUCAAAGGGCCAGAGAAAGCAGUGUGCAGGGCCAGGGCAGGGAUGAGUUAGACUCCUGGGGGCGGGAGCAGCUAGUGCAGCCCCACUUUGCUCCAGCUGAAAGCGCACAAGGCAGUCAGCACAGCCCCAGCCUCAGCAGGGACCGACGCUGAAGAUCUCCGGGUGUCCUUCCAGCUCCGACUUCUUCCUCCUGCUCCACCAAGCCCUGAAAAGAGAAAUAGGAGCCACCACAUGGCAUUAAGAUGAAGACUUAUUUUUCCAAAGGUAAGUGGUAGGUGUAGGGCCCUGCAGCACUAAUGCUGAUGCUAACAAUAUAAUCUCAGCAGCAGUAAUUUACUGAACAUUUACUACAAGCCAGGCUCAGGGCCAAGAGCUUCAGAUGCACAUUCUCUUUUAUUCCUCAGCCCCCCAGCCCCCCCCCAAGGCAGGACAUUUUCUAAUAUUAUCACAUUUUGCAUAUGAAAGACAGGCUGCUGGAGGGUAGCAGCUUCCUGGGGUUGGACAACUAGAAAGGAACAGAGCCAACUAGAAAGGAACAG
This is a non-coding RNA of Microcebus murinus (gray mouse lemur), 2475 nucleotides long. The record is from RefSeq and is a predicted model, not a curated record. Lineage: Eukaryota; Metazoa; Chordata; Mammalia; Primates; Cheirogaleidae.